ACAGAAGUCAACUUCCCAGGGAAGUAACAAAUUCUAAUGUUCAGGUGCUGAUUCACUAGAGGGCAAGGAACCAAUGGGAAGAAUCAGCAGCAGCAUAAAAAUGAAAUAAAAUGGAACUGAAUAAAAUGCUACCAAAAAUAGCUCAGGACAGGAGCUGAGAGAGAAUAGAAGACAUAUGCCAGCACUGGAGAGAAAUGGGGAAAAAUUUGGCAGGUCAUCUUUGGCAUGGAU
Molecule: long non-coding RNA, 231 nt
Organism: Lepus europaeus (European hare)
Lineage: Eukaryota; Metazoa; Chordata; Mammalia; Lagomorpha; Leporidae
Exons: 3
Source: RefSeq, a predicted model, not a curated record